Molecule: non-coding RNA, 23 nt
Filed under: Cricetulus griseus (Chinese hamster)
Lineage: Eukaryota; Metazoa; Chordata; Mammalia; Rodentia; Cricetidae
Source: RNAcentral
UUUGGACCAGAAACCCUGAUGAC